Molecule: long non-coding RNA, 1278 nt
Organism: Hydra vulgaris (swiftwater hydra)
Lineage: Eukaryota; Metazoa; Cnidaria; Hydrozoa; Anthoathecata; Hydridae
Source: RefSeq, a predicted model, not a curated record
GUUUUUUCACACCCCAUAGAUUUUCUGAUUCGCCUGAGUGCUUUCGCAACAGGUUAGCCUUGGGUUUCCUUUAUUUGAUAAAAUUGCAGCCAUAUUUAAGAAAAUUCAAAUGCAAUAGCAGUUGUGCGAGUGAGUAAACUGUUCAGGUUCUUUUUUUUUACAGCUGUUUGAAACGUUCAAAUGUCAGUUUGGUAGUGUUACAAUAUUUUGAAAACACUCAUAAAAUUUGAUAAAGAUUUUAGCGAUUUGGUAACUUUACAUGAUAUUAAUUAUAGAGCAAUCAUUAAAUGUUAAAAGAUUCUACAAAUUACACCAACUUUUAAUUUAGAAAGAAAAAUAUAUAUAUUUACUCAGCGAUAAGAAAUAAAACAUUUAAGACAAAUGUAAGUUGUGCUGUAAUAGGAUGUAUCAAUAGUUCCUAUAGACUAAAAAAAUGAAAAAACAACACAAGUGGAAUAAAUUGUCUGAGUGGGGGUGUGAGGUACCAUUCCAAAUAUAUUAAUUUCUAUGUACAAAUAGAUAUUGUUUAAAAAAGAGAGCGCUGGAUUAGUCUGUAUAGAUGAAAAGAAGAAAAAAAAAGUGUUUAGAAGCCUGGAACUGCUGAUAGAGUAUGCUUCAAUUGUUUUAUUGGACCAACUGUAACAAACCCUAAUACUAAAUUAAAUAUAGGCUUUGACCAAUCUGAAUAGAAAAUUUCUAGUAGAACUUUAUUCAAACAAACAAUUAUUUCUUUACCAUCUUUCAAAGAAAAGUAACCUGAUGAACUUUUAUCGACUGAAAAAAAUCACAGAACUUCCAUGUGUUAAUUUUAUGCAGGCUCUAUAAGUCUACGUAAUAUUUGAUGACGUGUAUAUGGAAAAGUGUAUUUGGUGACGUGUAUUUGAUGAGUUUAACACUAACUAAAGUACUGUGAGUAAAAAUAUAAUCUAACAAAUUAAUUGAAAAAGUUGAAAACAAAAGAAACAGUUAUAACUAAACAAAGGUUUGAAAUGAAGUUUGUUAACAAUGACAACAGAAAAUGAACUUUUAUACUUUCACAUUGCUACUUUUAAGAUUUUUAUUAAGACCAUUUUUACUCACCAUUUAUUGUAAAGACCAUUUUUACUCUCCAUUGAUUAUGAAGAGAACCAAAGCAUUUUUGCAGCAAUGUUAGGCAAUUAAAAUCAAUUCUAAAUCUAAACUAUUUUCAAACAAAAGACUGUUUAAUGACACUAAACUUAAGGUUACAAUAUGGUUUGUUAAGUAAAAAUAUAGUUGAUUGGUUUUAGCAUUUCUAAA